GACGAACGCUGGCGGCGUGCUUAACACAUGCAAGUCGAACGGAAAGGCCCUGCUUUUGUGGGGUGCUCGAGGGGCGAACGGGUGAGUAACACGUGAGUAACCUGCCCCUGACUUUGGGAUAACUUCAGGAAACUGGGGCUAAUAGCGGAUAGGAUCUCCUGCUGCAUGGUGGGGGUGGGAAAGUUUCGGCGGUUGGGGAGGGACUCGCGGCUUAUCAGCUUGUUGGUGGGGUAGUGGAUUACCAAGGCUUGGACGGGUAGCCGGGCUGAGCGGGUGACCGGCCACAUUGGGAUGGAGAUGAGGCACAGACUACUACGGGAGGCAGCAGUGGGGAAUAUUGCACAAUGGGCGGAAGCCUGAUGCAGCACCGCCGCGUGCGGGAUGUCGGCCUUCGGGUUGUAAACCGCUUUCGCCUGUGACGAAGCGUGAGUGACGGUAAUGGGUAAAGAAGCACCGGCUAACUCCGUG
This 468-nucleotide ribosomal RNA is filed under the name uncultured bacterium. RNAcentral describes it as "partial 16S ribosomal RNA". It matches the Rfam family "Bacterial small subunit ribosomal RNA", at positions 28 to 507 of the family's 1533-position model. The record is from RNAcentral.